CACUAAAAUAAAAAAAAAACAUGGCUUACAAUUAUGGUUCAUGUUUAUCUUUCAGAAGAUGCUUCAGAAGAAAAACAAAAAAAAGGAAAUGUGCACUCAACGUUAAGAGAACAGAAGACUAAAACCGACAAAUUCCCCAAGAAAUGAAAGACCUGCAGAGCAACAAGGGUUGAAUACCCUCCAGAAAGCUUGGACUCAACUGAACUCUUCUGACCUGCCAGACCUUGGCUUCAGUGCCACUACCACUGGUACUGUAAACUACUUUGAUAUGAAUCCAGGCCCCAGAAGUAAUAUGGCACUAACUGAAGUUAGCAAAUUAGAGACAACUGUAUCAAAAUUCCACAUACAGGCUGUCCAGGUGCAGAGAUAUGUGCAACAUGCAGGCUUGCAGGAAUGAAUGUAGGAAACAUAUUCUUAACAUAAAGUGCAUGGAGUAAUUAUUUAAGCUUAGAAAACUGUCCAAAAAAAG
RNAcentral lists this long non-coding RNA (469 nucleotides) under Lepisosteus oculatus (spotted gar). RNAcentral's name for it is "lncRNA (ENSLOCG00000022333.1)". Lineage: Eukaryota; Metazoa; Chordata; Actinopteri; Semionotiformes; Lepisosteidae. The record is from RNAcentral.